GACGAACGCUGGCGGCGUGCCUAAUACAUGCAAGCAGAACGCUGAAGGAGGAGCUUGCUCUUCUGGAUGAGUUGCGAACGGGUGAGUAACGCGUAGGUAACCUGCCUGGUAGCGGGGGAUAACUAUUGGAAACGAUAGCUAAUACCGCAUAAGAGUAGAUGUUGCAUGACAUUUGCUUAAAAGGUGCAAUUGCAUCACUACCAGAUGGACCUGCGUUGUAUUAGCUAGUUGGUGGGGUAACGGCUCACCAAGGCAACGAUACAUAGCCGACCUGAGAGGGUGAUCGGCCACACUGGGACUGAGACACGGCCCAGACUCCUACGGGAGGCAGCAGUAGGGAAUCUUCGGCAAUGGACGGAAGUCUGACCGAGCAACGCCGCGUGAGUGAAGAAGGUUUUCGGAUCGUAAAGCUCUGUUGUAAGAGAAGAACGAGUGUGAGAGUGGAAAGUUCACACUGUGACGGUAUCUUACCAGAAAGGGACGGCUAACUACGUGCCAGCAGCCGCGGUAAUACGUAGGUCCCGAGCGUUGUCCGGAUUUAUUGGGCGUAAAGCGAGCGCAGGCGGUUAGAUAAGUCUGAAGUUAAAGGCUGUGGCUUAACCAUAGUACGCUUUGGAAACUGUUUAACUUGAGUGCAAGAGGGGAGAGUGGAAUUCCAUGUGUAGCGGUGAAAUGCGUAGAUAUAUGGAGGAACACCGGUGGCGAAAGCGGCUCUCUGGCUUGUAACUGACGCUGAGGCUCGAAAGCGUGGGGAGCAAACAGG
RNAcentral lists this ribosomal RNA (763 nucleotides) under uncultured Streptococcus sp. RNAcentral describes it as "bacterial SSU rRNA". It matches the Rfam family "Bacterial small subunit ribosomal RNA", at positions 28 to 776 of the family's 1533-position model. The record is from RNAcentral. Lineage: Bacteria; Bacillati; Bacillota; Bacilli; Lactobacillales; Streptococcaceae.